RNAcentral lists this ribosomal RNA (1439 nucleotides) under uncultured organism. Its description in RNAcentral is "16S ribosomal RNA". It matches the Rfam family "Bacterial small subunit ribosomal RNA". The record is from RNAcentral.
GCGACAGGCUUAACACAUGCAAGUCGAGGGGCAGCACAGGUAGCAAUACCGGGUGGCGACCGGCGCACGGGUGAGUAACGCGUAUGCAACUUACCUAUCAGAGGGGGAUAACCCGGCGAAAGUCGGACUAAUACCGCAUGAAGCAGGGGCCCCGCAUGGGGAUAUUUGCUAAAGAUUCAUCGCUGAUAGAUAGGCAUGCGUUCCAUUAGGCAGUUGGCGGGGUAACGGCCCACCAAACCGACGAUGGAUAGGGGUUCUGAGAGGAAGGUCCCCCACAUUGGUACUGAGACACGGACCAAACUCCUACGGGAGGCAGCAGUGAGGAAUAUUGGUCAAUGGCCGAGAGGCUGAACCAGCCAAGUCGCGUGAGGGAUGAAGGUUCUAUGGAUCGUAAACCUCUUUUAUAAGGGAAUAAAGUGCGGGACGUGUCCCGUUUUGUAUGUACCUUAUGAAUAAGGAUCGGCUAACUCCGUGCCAGCAGCCGCGGUAAUACGGAGGAUCCGAGCGUUAUCCGGAUUUAUUGGGUUUAAAGGGUGCGUAGGCGGCCUUUUAAGUCAGCGGUGAAAGUCUGUGGCUCAACCAUAGAAUUGCCGUUGAAACUGGGGGGCUUGAGUAUGUUUGAGGCAGGCGGAAUGCGUGGUGUAGCGGUGAAAUGCAUAGAUAUCACGCAGAACCCCGAUUGCGAAGGCAGCCUGCCAAGCCAUUACUGACGCUGAUGCACGAAAGCGUGGGGAUCAAACAGGAUUAGAUACCCUGGUAGUCCACGCAGUAAACGAUGAUCACUAGCUGUUUGCGAUACACUGUAAGCGGCACAGCGAAAGCGUUAAGUGAUCCACCUGGGGAGUACGCCGGCAACGGUGAAACUCAAAGGAAUUGACGGGGGCCCGCACAAGCGGAGGAACAUGUGGUUUAAUUCGAUGAUACGCGAGGAACCUUACCCGGGUUUGAACGCAUUCGGACCGAGGUGGAAACACCUUUUCUAGCAAUAGCCGUUUGCGAGGUGCUGCAUGGUUGUCGUCAGCUCGUGCCGUGAGGUGUCGGCUUAAGUGCCAUAACGAGCGCAACCCUUGCCACUAGUUACUAACAGGUAAAGCUGAGGACUCUGGUGGGACUGCCAGCGUAAGCUGCGAGGAAGGCGGGGAUGACGUCAAAUCAGCACGGCCCUUACAUCCGGGGCGACACACGUGUUACAAUGGCGUGGACAAAGGGAAGCCACCUGGCGACAGGGAGCGAAUCCCCAAACCACGUCUCAGUUCGGAUCGGAGUCUGCAACCCGACUCCGUGAAGCUGGAUUCGCUAGUAAUCGCGCAUCAGCCAUGGCGCGGUGAAUACGUUCCCGGGCCUUGUACACACCGCCCGUCAAGCCAUGGGAGCCGGGGGUACCUGAAGUCCGUAACCGAAAGGAUCGGCCUAGGGUAAAACUGGUGACUGGGGCUAAG